Long non-coding RNA from Dendrobium catenatum, 568 nucleotides. RefSeq lists it as uncharacterized. Lineage: Eukaryota; Viridiplantae; Streptophyta; Magnoliopsida; Asparagales; Orchidaceae. The transcript has 2 exons. The record is from RefSeq and is a predicted model, not a curated record.
GCUUUCACAAGCCCUAAAUCUUUCACCUUCCUUCGAUUCAGAUCAUAAAAUUCCUUCAACUAUUCAGCUAAUGUUUUCUUUUCCGAUUUCGAAUUAAGUUUCUGCCUGUUUUGGGUUUCGGAUGUUGGAGUAUUUCACAUCUCACAAUUUCAGCGAUGUAGUUUUGAUCAGAUCUGAUGAAUUUCAUUUUAGUUUCUCUACCUUUCGGUUUUGUUGGUUCCAUUUUUUUUUUCUUUUGGAAUUGGCGAUGAACGAGCAAAAAUUCAGGCAGCCCCUUGGCCUGAUCGAGAUGGCAAAGGAGGUGUUGUUUUGCUCGGAGAUCAAAGCUUUUGCUCUUCAGAUACGCUGAGAAGUAUGGGGGGGUUUCUCCUUCUUCUUCUCUGAUGCGGGUCUAAUUAAUGGUCAAAGCCAUAUAAUUUUCAAUCUCUUGAAGAGAAAGGCCGAGCAUAUGAGAUAACACCUUUUAAUCUCUUUUAACUACUCCACCUACCAUUACUGGAGGACCAAUUUUCCUUGGCUUGAGGAUGUGUAAAAGUGAAGCUAUCCGAAAUUUGAUUCUGGACAGUAA